AUGCUCACUUGGGCAUCACAUAUACUAAAAUUGGAAUGCUACCAAAAAGAUUAGCAUGGCCCCUGUACAAGGAUGACAUGUAAACUCAUGAAGUAUUCCAUAUUUUA
Small nuclear RNA from Mustela putorius furo (domestic ferret), 107 nucleotides. The record is from Ensembl. NCBI's taxonomy places the organism in Eukaryota, Metazoa, Chordata, Mammalia, Carnivora, Mustelidae.